GACGAACGCUGGCGGCGUGCUUAACACAUGCAAGUCGAACGGAAAGGCCCUGCUUGCAGGGUGCUCGAGUGGCGAACGGGUGAGUAACACGUGGGUGAUCUGCCCCUUACUUUGGGAUAAGCCUGGGAAACUGGGUCUAAUACUGGAUAGGACCAUGCUGUAGGUGGUGUGGUGGAAAGAUUAGUUUCGGUAAGGGAUGAGCUCGCGGCCUAUCAGCUUGUUGGUGAGGUAAUGGCCUACCAAGGCGUCGACGGGUAGCCGGCCUGAGAGGGUGGACGGCCACAUUGGGACUGAGAUACGGCCCAGACUCCUACGGGAGGCAGCAGUGGGGAAUAUUGCACAAUGGGCGCAAGCCUGAUGCAGCGACGCCGCGUGGGGGAUGACGGCCUUCGGGUUGUAAACUCCUUUCAGCCAUGACGAAGCCCUUGUGGUGACGGUAGUGGUAGAAGAAGCACCGGCUAACUACGUG
RNAcentral lists this ribosomal RNA (469 nucleotides) under uncultured bacterium. Its description in RNAcentral is "partial 16S ribosomal RNA". It matches the Rfam family "Bacterial small subunit ribosomal RNA", at positions 28 to 507 of the family's 1533-position model. The record is from RNAcentral.